AGGAAAAGAAACUAACAAGGAUUCCCCUAGUAACGGCGAGUGAAGAGGGAAAAGCUCAAAUUUUGAAUCUGGUGUCUUUGACUCCCGAGUUGUAAUCUAGAGAAGUGUUUUCCGUGUCGGACCGUGCACAAGUUCCCUGGAACGGGGCGUCAUAGAGGGUGAGAAUCCCGUAUAUGGCAUGGACURCCGAUGCUUUUGUGAUACACUCUCAACGAGUCGAGUUGUUUGGGAAUGCAGCUCAAAAUGGGUGGUAAAUUCCAUCUAAAGCUAAAUAUUGGCGAGAGACCGAUAGCGAACAAGUACCGUGAGGGAAAGAUGAAAAGCACUUUGGAAAGAGAGUGAAACAGUACGUGAAAUUGUUGAAAGGGAAGCGUUUGAAGUCAGUCGUAUCUGGCGGGAUUCAGCCGGGCUUUUGCCAGGUGUACUUCUCGUCCGAUGGGUCAGCAUCAAUUUCGACCGGGGGAAAAAGACGUGUGGAAUGUGGCUGUCUUCGGGCAGUGUUAUAGCCAUGCGUUGUAUGCCUCGGUUGGGAUUGAGGAACGCAGCGCGCCUAUAGGCCAGGGGUUCGCCUCUUGACACGUGCUUAGGAUGCUGGCAUAAUGGC
Molecule: ribosomal RNA, 604 nt
Filed under: uncultured Sebacinales
Lineage: Eukaryota; Fungi; Basidiomycota; Agaricomycetes; Sebacinales
Description: eukaryotic LSU rRNA
Rfam family: Eukaryotic large subunit ribosomal RNA
Source: RNAcentral